GAUCGGCCCGCGUCUGAUUAGCUAGUUGGUGAGGUAAUGGCUCACCAAGGCGACGAUCAGUAGCUGGUCUGAGAGGAUGAUCAGCCACAUUGGGACUGAGACACGGCCCAAACUCCUACGGGAGGCAGCAGUGGGGAAUAUUGGACAAUGGGCGCAAGCCUGAUCCAGCCAUGCCGCGUGAGUGAUGAAGGCCCUAGGGUUGUAAAGCUCUUUUGUGCGGGAAGAUAAUGACGGUACCGCAAGAAUAAGCCCCGGCUAACUUCGUGCCAGCAGCCGCGGUAAUACGAAGGGGGCUAGCGUUGCUCGGAAUCACUGGGCGUAAAGGGUGCGUAGGCGGGUCUUUAAGUCAGGGGUGAAAUCCUGGAGCUCAACUCCAGAACUGCCUUUGAUACUGAAGAUCUUGAGUUCGGGAGAGGUGAGUGGAACUGCGAGUGUAGAGGUGAAAUUCGUAGAUAUUCGCAAG
This 463-nucleotide ribosomal RNA is filed under the name uncultured Pseudomonadota bacterium. RNAcentral describes it as "bacterial SSU rRNA". It matches the Rfam family "Bacterial small subunit ribosomal RNA", at positions 224 to 704 of the family's 1533-position model. Lineage: Bacteria; Pseudomonadati; Pseudomonadota. The record is from RNAcentral.